Molecule: long non-coding RNA, 121 nt
Organism: Limulus polyphemus (Atlantic horseshoe crab)
Lineage: Eukaryota; Metazoa; Arthropoda; Merostomata; Xiphosura; Limulidae
Exons: 3
Source: RefSeq, a predicted model, not a curated record
AUAUAUGUUAUUACUAUUUAGACACAGGUUAACCCUUUCAAGACUGGUCAUGGGUGAAAGGCCAUGUCAUCUUGUUUGUUGACUCGGAUUCAAAAUUUUAUUGAACUACUAUUUCAUGAAU